RNAcentral lists this ribosomal RNA (497 nucleotides) under uncultured bacterium. Its description in RNAcentral is "partial 16S ribosomal RNA". It matches the Rfam family "Bacterial small subunit ribosomal RNA", at positions 28 to 507 of the family's 1533-position model. The record is from RNAcentral.
GAUGAACGCUGGCGGCGUGCCUAAUACAUGCAAGUCGAGCGAACGGACGAGAAGCUUGCUUCUCUGAUGUUAGCGGCGGACGGGUGAGUAACACGUGGAUAACCUACCUAUAAGACUGGGAUAACUUCGGGAAACCGGAGCUAAUACCGGAUAAUAUUUUGAACCGCAUGGUUCAAAAGUGAAAGACGGUCUUGCUGUCACUUAUAGAUGGAUCCGCGCUGCAUUAGCUAGUUGGUAAGGUAACGGCUUACCAAGGCAACGAUGCAUAGCCGACCUGAGAGGCUGAUCGGCCACACUGGAGCUGAGACACGGUCCAGACUCCUACGGGAGGCAGCAGUAGGGAAUCUUCCGCAAUGGGCGAAAGCCUGACGGAGCAACGCCGCGUGAGUGAUGAAGGUCUUCGGAUCGUAAAACUCUGUUAUUAGGGAAGAACAUAUGUGUAAGUAACUGUGCACAUCUUGACGGUACCUAAUCAGAAAGCCACGGCUAACUACGUG